UACGUAGGGUGCGAGCGUUAAUCGGAAUUACUGGGCGUAAAGCGUGCGCAGGCGGUCUUGUAAGACAGGUGUGAAAUCCCCGGGCUUAACCUGGGAACUGCACUUGUGACUGCAAGGCUGGAGUACGGCAGAGGGGGAUGGAAUUCCGCGUGUAGCAGUGAAAUGCGUAGAUAUGCGGAGGAACACCGAUGGCGAAGGCAAUCCCCUGGGCCUGUACUGACGCUGAGGAGCGAAAGCAUGGGGAGCGAACAGG
RNAcentral lists this ribosomal RNA (253 nucleotides) under uncultured bacterium. RNAcentral describes it as "partial 16S ribosomal RNA". It matches the Rfam family "Bacterial small subunit ribosomal RNA", at positions 524 to 776 of the family's 1533-position model. The record is from RNAcentral.